RNAcentral lists this transfer RNA (66 nucleotides) under Amiota leucostoma. RNAcentral's name for it is "tRNA-Glu". Lineage: Eukaryota; Metazoa; Arthropoda; Insecta; Diptera; Drosophilidae. The record is from RNAcentral.
AUUUAUAUAGUUUAAAUAAAACCUUACAUUUUCACUGUAAAAAUAAAAUAAUAAUUUUUAUAAAUU